Ailuropoda melanoleuca (giant panda) is the source of this 1797-nucleotide long non-coding RNA. RefSeq lists it as uncharacterized. Lineage: Eukaryota; Metazoa; Chordata; Mammalia; Carnivora; Ursidae. The record is from RefSeq and is a predicted model, not a curated record. The transcript is spliced from 3 exons.
GGCUGCGGAGCGGACCCUUGGAGCCCUCGGGUUCAUGGGAAAUUGUGCGAAGGGAAUUCUGGGGAAGGAGGUUCCGGUUACCCUGAGACCGCGGGUCGCGGUGUGAGGCGGGAAGACCGGACCGUGGGCCGAUGAAUGAGCCCGUGUGUGGUCAGCGACAUUCGGGAAGGAAUAUUUCCUUGUCCUGUGCUCGCUCCCUGCUGGUUGUCUGACUGACGUCUUUCAGCACUCCUUUCGGAGUCCGUCUUCCACAUAGAAAUCGCGGAAAUGGAAGCAGAGCAUCAACCGUGAAAUGACGGUUAUCCGUAGUCGUUUCGAGGCCUCCGCGGGCUCCUCCCGUCCAGACCCGCCUUCCGCAGCGCUGUGGGGAGCACGCGUGACUGCGGGUGGUCUGCUUUCUGGAGGUCACGUCCGCGCUGCGGGGUUUGGCCCCGCUGACACGCACGCGCGCACUCCAGCCGCGGUGCAGUGGCGCCGAGCGCCGAGCGCCAGCGCCCCGGCCGGUGCAUCCCUUGGCUCGUCUCCGUCUGGGCCGGAGCCCGGGACACUCGAUGGCGACAGAACCGCCGGGUGAUGCCCGGAGCUCGAAGUCCAGCACCCGCACGGCUCUCUGCCGAACCUCUGGUGACCUGCGCGUGUCAUUCCGUGGAUUCUGGGUUUGACUCGCGGACGUGUGCAGUAGGGAAGUGUAGCCGCGUGAGCGGAAUGCUGGCACGGCAGUCGAAGCUCUAGACCUCGCCCGAGCUCUGCGCCUCAGCGUCUUCCCCGUCCGUCCACCGAGGAUUCAGAAGUUACUAGAAUACUCGACGGAAAAGCGAACCAACAGUCGCUUGGAAGUUGAGGAACUUUAUCAAAAAGACGUGACUGCUGCUUGACCCAUGAGCUAGACCAGUGCACUUGGAGGUUCCUCCCCUCCCCUGUCCUUGGAGUGUCUUUCCUGCUCCCAGAGGCUGCUCCGAGGACACAGCCUUGAGACGGUGAUGUGCUGAAAAUACCUGCAUGGUGCACAUGACUGGGCCCAGGACUACUCAAAAGAAGAGAAGCAAAUUGUGAAUAACAUACGGAAAGGUGCUCAACUUUAUCAACAAUGAGUACAUAUUAAAAUGACCGUGAGAUAGAGAGCACCAACUCACCGGACGUGCAAAAGCUAGAAUUCCCACGUGUCAAGUAAAAGUGAGUACACUACUUCAGAAUAUGACUCUGAUUUAUUUAGAGGGGUUAAAAAUAUGCAUAACAAGCCUGUAUUUCUAGAGAUACUCAUACUUGGGUGCACUGCAUUGUAUAUACAGAAUUAAUCAGGGCAGCAUCAUUAAUCAUGCUAUUAAAAUAUUGGAAACACCGAAGUAUCCAUCAACAACGGAAUGGAUAAAUAAUACACGACAACAAAGAUAAACUAGAAUCAUACGCAAAAGCUUAGAUGGAGCUUAAGCAUAAUAUUGAGGAAAAGAAGCAAGUUGCCAAGAAAAAAAAGCAUGAAUUUAUUUGUAGUAAAGUUCAAAAAGAGGUAAAACUAAGCUAUUUUAGGGAUGCAUAUAUGUCAGUAAAAUUAUAGAUAAAAGGAAUAAAGUGAUAAAGUCCGGAUGGCAGUUGCCUCUAGGAAGGAGGAGUGGUAAGCGAGGGCCACAUAUAGAUUUCUGGGGUUCUGGCAGUGUUCUUUUUCUGGACCUGAAUGUUGGCUCCUUCACAAUAAGUUAUUGUACUGCUGUAUACUGUUUUGUGUACUUGACUUUUUUGUGUUACGGCCCAUGAUUUUAUUUUUUAUUUAUUUAUUUUUAAAGAUUAUUUAUGUAUUUGACA